AGUUUGAAUGGCUAGCCAAAGAACGUGAAAGCCGUGUACGUGAAAACGACGCUGACCUUAUAUGUGUUUUAUCGAGUAGGACGGGGCACGAGAAACCCUGUUUGAAUCUGGCUGGACCACCAGCCAAGGCUAAAUAUAAUAUACGAUCGAUAGUGAACUAGUACAGCGAUGGAAAGGUGAAAAGAACCCCGGGAGGGGAGUGAAAUAGAUCCUGAAAUUUAGUGCCUACAAGGAGUCGGAGCCGGCUUGUCCGGUGACGGCGUGCUUUUUGUAGAACGAUCCAGCGAGUUAAUUUCGUGCGCAAGGUUAAGUUAGUUAACGGAGCCACAGUGAAAGCGAGCCUGAAUAGGGCGUUUAGUGUACGGAAUUAGACCCGAAACCGGGUGACCUAACCAUGAGCAGGUUGAAGCUACUGUAACAGGUAGUGGAGGGCCGAACCAGGAUACGCAGCAAAGUGUUUGGAUGACUUGUGGUUAGCGGUGAAAUGCCAAUCGAACUCGGAGAUAGCUGGUUCUCCUCGAAAUAGCUUUAGGGCUAGCGUCGUGUUAGUAGCACAUGGGGGUAGAGCUCUGUAAAGGACUGGGGCGGGCAACUGUACCCACCCUUAACAAACUACGAAUACCAUGUGUGUAAUCACGGCAGUUAGAACAUCGGUGCUAAGAUCGGUGCUCAAAAGGGAAACAGCCCAGACCAUCAUCUAAGGUCCCUAAAUUAACGUUCAGUGGGAAACAAGGUGAGAUUUCUUAAACAGCUAGGAUGUUGGCUUAGAAGCAGCCAUUCAUUUAAAGAGUGCGUAACAGCUCACUAGUCAAGAGAUCUUGCGUGGAAAAUGUAACGGGGCUAAAACGUUAUACCGAAGAUAUGGAUGUCAGAUUUAUCUGGCGUGGUAGAGGAGCGUUCCUAUCAGCAGUGAAGUCGAAUCGGAAGGUUCGGUGGAGCGGUAGGAAGUGAGAAUGCUGGAAUGAGUAACCAUAAGAGAGGUGAGAAUCCUGUCGGCCGUAAGAGCAAGGUUUCCUGAGCUAUGGUAAUCAUCUCAGGGUUAGUCGGGCCUAAGCCGAGGCGCAGAGCGUAGGCGAUGGACAUCAGGUUAAUAUUCCUGAACCGGUUAAGUUUUGUACACUGUUCACGGGGAAGUAAUCGAAGCGGAUUCAUGGUUUAUCCGUCCAACCGAGCGGGAACGCAAAGGGAGUGAAAGUGAUUCUUCGGAGUCGCGAUUUUGGUGAAAGCCCUGGCUAGAAAAGCAGGUGUACGCGUGGACUUAGCCGCCCGUACCGCAAACCAACACAGGUGCUCGAGUCGAGUAGACUCAGGCUUACGAGAGAACCUUCGCUAAGGAACUCGGCAAUACAGCGACCGUAACUUCGGGAUAAGGUCUGCCCCCACUUCGGUGGAUAUCAGCCGCGUUCACUCAGUGAAUAUUAGGUUAAAGAGUACAUUUUUAAUCACAAAACGAAUUUUCUGAGAUAGAGCAAACGAAUUGUUCUUUUGAACGCGAACCUCUGACGUCUAACGAUGUGGGGGCCGCAGCAAAAGAGCCCACGGAACUGUUUAUCAAAAACACAGGUCUCUGCUAACACGAAAGUGGAUGUAUAGGGGCUGACUCCUGCCCGGUGCCGGAAGGUUAAGGGGAGUGCUUCACGGUGCAAACUGAAGCCCCGGUGAACGGCGGCGGUAACUAUAACCGUCCUAAGGUAGCGAAAUUCCUUGUCAGGUAAGUUCUGACCCGCACGAAUGGAGUAAUCAUGUGGGCACUGUCUCAGCGAAGGACUCGGUGAAAGUGCAUUGGCGGUAAAGAUGCCGUCUGUCCGUACCAGGACGAAAAGACCCCAUGGAGCUUUACUACAGCUUUACAUUGAAUAUGGUUUCAAUAUGUGUAGCAUAGGUGGGAGACUUUGAAGCAGAUACGCCAGUAUUUGUGGAGUCACCAAGUGAAAUACCACCCUUGUUGUGAUUGUGUUCUCACGCUGACCGUUAUCCGGUUAGCGGACCGUGUAUGGUGGGUAGUUUAACUGGGGCGGUUGCCUCCUAAAGAGUAGCGGAGGCGUUCAAAGGUUGGCUAACUUCGGAUGGAAAUCGAAGUGAUAGUGUAUGCGCAU
This 2096-nucleotide ribosomal RNA is filed under the name human oral metagenome. RNAcentral describes it as "bacterial LSU rRNA". It matches the Rfam family "Bacterial large subunit ribosomal RNA", at positions 339 to 2360 of the family's 2925-position model. The record is from RNAcentral.